UUAGAGAAAAAAAAAAGGAGCUCUUCAGUAAGGAUUGUGAAUAUAAUUUUUUUUUUUUUUUUGAGAGAUAGGUUGCACGCUAGCCGCUUCGUUUAUUUCAUUUAGAAAUAAACUUAGCUGGAAAUGCGAAUCAACUAGGAUUCGAACUUGGAUCUCGAGUACCAACCACCAAACCCUUUGCCACUUGCUCUAGGGACGGUCGGCGGAUUGUGAAUAUAAUUAAAUGAA
This 228-nucleotide long non-coding RNA is filed under the name Ananas comosus (pineapple). RNAcentral describes it as "long non-coding RNA (ACOM_LNC004794)". The record is from RNAcentral. Lineage: Eukaryota; Viridiplantae; Streptophyta; Magnoliopsida; Poales; Bromeliaceae.